GCUCCCGUGGCCUAAUGGAUAUGGCAUUUGACUUCUAAUCAGGGGAUUGUGGAUUCGAGUUCUACUGGUAGUG
This 73-nucleotide transfer RNA is filed under the name Physcomitrium patens. RNAcentral describes it as "Physcomitrella patens tRNA". It matches the Rfam family "tRNA". Rfam says of the family: Transfer RNA (tRNA) molecules are approximately 80 nucleotides in length. Their secondary structure includes four short double-helical elements and three loops (D, anti-codon, and T loops). Lineage: Eukaryota; Viridiplantae; Streptophyta; Bryopsida; Funariales; Funariaceae. The record is from Rfam by way of RNAcentral.